This 465-nucleotide ribosomal RNA is filed under the name uncultured bacterium. Its description in RNAcentral is "partial 16S ribosomal RNA". It matches the Rfam family "Bacterial small subunit ribosomal RNA", at positions 339 to 795 of the family's 1533-position model. The record is from RNAcentral.
CUACGGGCGGCUCCAGUGGGGAAUAUUGGACAAUGGGGGAAACCCUGAUCCAGCAAUGCCGCGUGUGUGAAGAAGGCCUGCGGGUUGUAAAGCACUUUCGGUUGGGAGGACUGCUUCUAGCACUAAUAUUGUUGGAAGUUGACGUUACCUUCAGAAGAAGCACCGGCUAACUCCGUGCCAGCAGUCGCGGUAAUACGGAGGGUGCAAGCGUUAAUCGGAAUUACUGGGCGUAAAGCGCGCGUAGGCGGCUAGAUCAGUCGGGUGUGAAAGCCCCGGGCUCAACCUGGGAACUGCACUCGAUAAUGGUAAGCUAGAGUAUAGUAGAGGCAAGUGGAAUUUCAGGUGUAGCGGUGAAAUGCGUAGAUAUCUGAAGGAACAUCAGUGGCGAAGGCGACUUGCUGGACUAAUACUGACGCUGAGGUGCGAAAGCGUGGGGAGCAAACAGGAUUAGAUACCCGAGUAGUC